Molecule: unclassified non-coding RNA, 201 nt
Organism: Bison bison bison
Lineage: Eukaryota; Metazoa; Chordata; Mammalia; Artiodactyla; Bovidae
Source: Ensembl
CAGAUUACUUUUAAGUCUGAAGGGUUCUAUUCAAAUCUUGAAAUGUCUUUUGACUUUAUAUUUGAAAACCUGUAUGCAUGUGCAUUCAUGAAGGGUAGAGACAUGAUGAAUGUUCUCACCUGAGUUAGAACCAAACCCAGCGCAGGCAGCUGCCCUGAGCUUUGUUAUUACAAUUUUGGCCUGACAUGCGAGUUGGAAAAU